UGGGCCAGUGCGUUGGAAGACGGUGACC
Molecule: non-coding RNA, 28 nt
Filed under: Homo sapiens (human)
Lineage: Eukaryota; Metazoa; Chordata; Mammalia; Primates; Hominidae
Source: RNAcentral